UCCCUGGUAGCUCAGAUGGUAAAGCUUCUGCCUGCAAUACAGGAGACCCCGGUUCGAACCCUGGGUUGGGAA
Transfer RNA from Ovis aries (sheep), 72 nucleotides. It matches the Rfam family "tRNA". From Rfam's summary of the family: Transfer RNA (tRNA) molecules are approximately 80 nucleotides in length. Their secondary structure includes four short double-helical elements and three loops (D, anti-codon, and T loops). NCBI's taxonomy places the organism in Eukaryota, Metazoa, Chordata, Mammalia, Artiodactyla, Bovidae. The record is from Rfam.